AUUGAACGCUGGCGGAAUGCUUUACACAUGCAAGUCGAACGGCAGCACGGACUUCGGUCUGGUGGCGAGUGGCGAACGGGUGAGUAAUGUAUCGGAACGUAUCCAAUAAUGGGGGAUAACUAGUCGAAAGAUUAGCUAAUACCGCAUACGCCCUACGGGGGAAAGCUAGGGACCUUCGGGCCUGGCGUUAAUGGAGCGGCCGAUAUCUGAUUAGCUAGUUGGUGAGGGAAAAGCUCACCAAGGCGACGAUCAGUAGCUGGUCUGAGAGGACGAACAGACACACUGGAACUGAGACACGGUCCAGACUCCGACGGGAGGCAGCAGUAGGGAAUUUUGGACAAUGGGCGAAAGCCUGAUCCAGCCACUCCGCGUGAGUGAAGAAGGCCUUCGGGUUGUAAAGCUCUUUCGCAAGAGAAGAAAACGUACCCUCUAACAUAGGGUGAGGCUGACGGUAUCUUGAUAAGAAGCACCGGCUAACUACGUGCCAGCCGCCGCCGUAA
Molecule: ribosomal RNA, 500 nt
Filed under: uncultured bacterium
Lineage: Bacteria
Description: partial 16S ribosomal RNA
Rfam family: Bacterial small subunit ribosomal RNA
Source: RNAcentral